AGAGUUUGAUCAUGGCUCAGGACGAACGCUGGCGGCGUGCCUAAUACAUGCAAGUCGAGCGAGCGGAACCAACAGAUUUACUUCGGUAAUGACGUUGGGAAAGCGAGCGGCGGAUGGGUGAGUAACACGUGGGGAACCUGCCCCUAAGUCUGGGAUACCAUUUGGAAACAGGUGCUAAUACCGGAUAAUAAAGCAGAUCGCAUGAUCAGCUUUUGAAAGGCGGCGUAAGCUGUCGCUAAGGGAUGGCCCCGCGGUGCAUUAGCUAGUUGGUAAGGUAACGGCUUACCAAGGCGACGAUGCAUAGCCGAGUUGAGAGACUGAUCGGCCACAUUGGGACUGAGACACGGCCCAAACUCCUACGGGAGGCAGCAGUAGGGAAUCUUCCACAAUGGACGCAAGUCUGAUGGAGCAACGCCGCGUGAGUGAAGAAGGUUUUCGGAUCGUAAAGCUCUGUUGUUGGUGAAGAAGGAUAGAGGUAGUAACUGGCCUUUAUUUGACGGUAAUCAACCAGAAAGUCACGGCUAACUACGUGCCAGCAGCCGCGGUAAUACGUAGGUGGCAAGCGUUGUCCGGAUUUAUUGGGCGUAAAGCGAGCGCAGGCGGAAAAAUAAGUCUAAUGUGAAAGCCCUCGGCUUAACCGAGGAACUGCAUCGGAAACUGUUUUUCUUGAGUGCAGAAGAGGAGAGUGGAACUCCAUGUGUAGCGGUGGAAUGCGUAGAUAUAUGGAAGAACACCAGUGGCGAAGGCGGCUCUCUGGUCUGCAACUGACGCUGAGGCUCGAAAGCAUGGGUAGCGAACAGGAUUAGAUACCCUGGUGGUCCAUGCCGUAAACGAUGAGUGCUAAGUGUUGGGAGGUUUCCGCCUCUCAGUGCUGCAGCUAACGCAUUAAGCACUCCGCCUGGGGAGUACGACCGCAAGGUUGAAACUCAAAUGAAUUGACGG
RNAcentral lists this ribosomal RNA (942 nucleotides) under uncultured bacterium. Its description in RNAcentral is "bacterial SSU rRNA". It matches the Rfam family "Bacterial small subunit ribosomal RNA", at positions 8 to 916 of the family's 1533-position model. The record is from RNAcentral.